Oxyura jamaicensis (ruddy duck) is the source of this 180-nucleotide long non-coding RNA. RefSeq lists it as uncharacterized. Lineage: Eukaryota; Metazoa; Chordata; Aves; Anseriformes; Anatidae. The record is from RefSeq and is a predicted model, not a curated record. The transcript is spliced from 3 exons.
GAGUAAUAUGUAGGUUGUUAUCUAAGUACUAAUAAAAAUCACAUAAUCUAACUUAAUCUACUCUAAAGGUAUGUAACAAAUCCUUAACUGCUGCUACAUUACAGUUGCCUAAAUCUAAUUCCAUGACAUCAUCCAUGCUCACCCAGCCUACAAUUAUAUUCUAUUUAAAUCUGCAGUUUG